This 257-nucleotide ribosomal RNA is filed under the name uncultured Pseudomonas sp. RNAcentral describes it as "partial 16S ribosomal RNA". It matches the Rfam family "Bacterial small subunit ribosomal RNA", at positions 96 to 354 of the family's 1533-position model. Lineage: Bacteria; Pseudomonadati; Pseudomonadota; Gammaproteobacteria; Pseudomonadales; Pseudomonadaceae. The record is from RNAcentral.
CGGCGGACGGGUGAGUAAUGCCUAGGAAUCUGCCUGGUAGUGGGGGACAACGUUUCGAAAGGAACGCUAAUACCGCAUACGUCCUACGGGAGAAAGCAGGGGACCUUCGGGCCUUGCGCUAUCAGAUGAGCCUAGGUCGGAUUAGCUAGUUGGUGAGGUAAUGGCUCACCAAGGCGACGAUCCGUAACUGGUCUGAGAGGAUGAUCAGUCACACUGGAACUGAGACACGGUCCAGACUCCUACGGGAGGCAGCAGAG